ACUCUGGGGGGACUGCCGCCGAUAAGGCGGAGGAAGGAGUGGGCCACGGCAGGUCAGUAUGCCCCGAAUCUCCCGGGCCACACGCGAGCUGCAAUGGCAGGGACAAUGGGUUCCGACCUCGAAAGGGGAAGGCAAUCCUCAAACCCUGCCGUAGUUGGGAUCGAGGGUUGGAACCCACCCUCGUGAACAUGGAAUCCCUAGUAAUCGCGUGUCACUAGCGCGCGGUGAAUACGUCCCUGCUCCUUGCACACACCGCCCGUCGUUCCACCCGAGCGACUUUUGGGUGAGGCGUGGUCUUUGUUGGCUGCGUCGAAUCCAAAUUUCGUGAGGGGGGAAAAGUCGUAACAAGGUGGCCGUAGGGGAACCUGCGGCCGGAUCACCUCCU
RNAcentral lists this ribosomal RNA (385 nucleotides) under Candidatus Bathyarchaeota archaeon. RNAcentral's name for it is "bacterial SSU rRNA". It matches the Rfam family "Archaeal small subunit ribosomal RNA", at positions 1093 to 1478 of the family's 1478-position model. The record is from RNAcentral. Lineage: Archaea; Thermoproteati; Candidatus Bathyarchaeota.